Small nuclear RNA from Ochotona curzoniae (black-lipped pika), 108 nucleotides. The record is from RefSeq and is a predicted model, not a curated record. Lineage: Eukaryota; Metazoa; Chordata; Mammalia; Lagomorpha; Ochotonidae.
GUGCUUGCUUCGGCAGCACAUAUACUAAAAUUGGAAUGAUACAGAGAAGAUUAGCAUGGCCCCUGCACAAAAACACCUAGUUUCCCUUCUGGGAAAGAGAACAUUUAG